Molecule: unclassified non-coding RNA, 23 nt
Filed under: Mus musculus (house mouse)
Lineage: Eukaryota; Metazoa; Chordata; Mammalia; Rodentia; Muridae
Description: oocyte_clustered_small_RNA10442
Source: RNAcentral
AUAAAAACACUGGCUGGCUUAUG